UACGUAGGUGGCAAGCGUUAUCCGGAAUUAUUGGGCGUAAAGAGCGCGCAGGUGGUUGAUUAAGUCUGAUGUGAAAGCCCACGGCUUAACCGUGGAGGGUCAUUGGAAACUGGUCGACUUGAGUGCAGAAGAGGGAAGUGGAAUUCCAUGUGUAGCGGUGAAAUGCGUAGAGAUAUGGAGGAACACCAGUGGCGAAGGCGGCUUCCUGGUCUGUAACUGACACUGAGGCGCGAAGGCGUGUGGAUCAAACAGGAUUAGAUACCCCCGUA
Molecule: ribosomal RNA, 269 nt
Filed under: uncultured prokaryote
Description: partial 16S ribosomal RNA
Rfam family: Bacterial small subunit ribosomal RNA
Source: RNAcentral